CCUACGGGAGGCAGCAGUGAGGAAUAUUGGUCAAUGGACGCAAGUCUGAACCAGCCAUGCCGCGUGCAGGAAGACGGCUCUAUGAGUUGUAAACUGCUUUUGUACGAGGGUAAACGCAGAUACGCGUAUCUGUCUGAAAGUAUCGUACGAAUAAGGAUCGGCUAACUCCGUGCCAGCAGCCGCGGUAAUACGGAGGAUUCAAGCGUUAUCCGGAUUUAUUGGGUUUAAAGGGUGCGUAGGCGGUUCGAUAAGUUAGAGGUGAAAUCCCGGGGCUCAACUCCGGCACUGCCUCUGAUACUGUCGGGCUAGAGUUUAGUUGCGGUAGGCGGAAUGUAUGGUGUAGCGGUGAAAUGCAUAGAGAUCAUACAGAACACCGAUUGCGAAGGCGGCUUACUGGACAGUAACUGACGUUGAGGCUCGAAAGCGUGGGGAGCAAACAGGAUUAGAUACCCCGGUAGUC
Molecule: ribosomal RNA, 460 nt
Filed under: uncultured bacterium
Lineage: Bacteria
Description: partial 16S ribosomal RNA
Rfam family: Bacterial small subunit ribosomal RNA
Source: RNAcentral